RNAcentral lists this ribosomal RNA (452 nucleotides) under uncultured bacterium. RNAcentral's name for it is "bacterial SSU rRNA". It matches the Rfam family "Bacterial small subunit ribosomal RNA", at positions 29 to 507 of the family's 1533-position model. The record is from RNAcentral.
AACGAACGCUGGCGGCAGGCCUAACACAUGCAAGUCGAGCGAGGUAGCAAUACCUAGCGGCGGACGGGUGAGUAACGCGUGGGAACGUACCCUUUGCUACGGAAUAGCCCCGGGAAACUGGGAGUAAUACCGUAUGUGCCCUUCGGGGGAAAGAUUUAUCGGAGAAGGAUCGGCCCGCGUUGGAUAGGUAGUUGGUGGGGUAAUGGCCUACCAAGCCGACGAUCCAUAGCUGGUUUGAGAGGAUGAUCAGCCACACUGGGACUGAGACACGGCCCAGACUCCUACGGGAGGCAGCAGUAGGGAAUAUUGGACAAUGGGGGGAACCCUGAUCCAGCCAUGCCGCGUGAGGGAAGAAGGUCCUCUGGAUUGUAAACCUCUUUUUGGCAGGAAACAAACCUGCGCUAUACGCGCAGCUGAGGGUACCUGCAGAAUAAGCACCGGCUAACUCCGUG